Molecule: long non-coding RNA, 338 nt
Filed under: Androctonus crassicauda
Lineage: Eukaryota; Metazoa; Arthropoda; Arachnida; Scorpiones; Buthidae
Source: RNAcentral
GUAGAGCUAUCUUCAGCAUGGAAAUAUCUUGUAAGGAAAAGAAGGAGGGAGGACUGAUGUUAAUGGGCUAUAUGAAAGGAGUCCUGGAAGGAUGCCAAGGGCUAUGCGCAAAAGAUAGAAAAGGACUAUGUUUAGCUAAAAUUUUUUUAAAGUUUAUGUUAUGUUAUGUUAAGUUGAACAUUGUGUUAUACGUCAUUGUGGAGGCCUUUUUGAGUAAUGUAGCGUGCAUGCGUUCGAGUUCGUGAUGCAGCAUCUGUGUUCUAUGUUCCAUUUUUGAAAUCAAAAUUUUAUGUAGAAUGUAUGAGCUGAUGAGGGCUUUGUAAAGCCGAAAACGUCAG